CGGAGUCUUCGUCGACGGCCCCGGCGCCGGCAAGCACAUCCAGGCCGGCGCGAAGAAGGUGAUCAUCACGGCUCCCGCCAAGGGCGCCGACAUCCCGACCUAUGUCGUCGGCGUCAACGAGGGCGACUACGACCACAGCGUCGCCGACAUCAUCAGCAACGCGUCCUGCACGACCAACUGCCUCGCGCCAUUCGUCAAGAUCUUGGACGAGGAGUUCGGUGAGACGGAGGAGCCUGCUGGUCACCACAGUCUGCUACUGCACAUGCGCAUGCGCAGCUGACUGUUUUUUUUUUAUACAAUAUUGCAGGAAUCGUGAAGGGGACCAUGACGACGACGCACUCGUACACCGGCGACCAGAGGCUGCUGGACGCGUCCCACCGCGACCUCCGGCGGGCCCGCGCGGCGGCGCUGAACAUCGUGCCGACGAGCACGGGCGCCGCCAAGGCCGUGGCGCUGGUGCUGCCGCAGCUCAAGGGGAAGCUGAACGGCAUCGCGCUGCGGGUGCCGACCCCGAACGUGUCCGUGGUGGACCUGGUGAUCAACACCGUGAAGACUGGCAUCACGGCCGACGACGUGAACGCGGCGUUCCGCAAGGCCGCCGCCGGCCCGCUGCAGGGCAUCCUGGAGGUCUGCGACGUGCCGCUCGUGUCCGUCGACUUCAGGUGCUCCGACGUGUCCUGCACCAUCGACGCG
This 693-nucleotide long non-coding RNA is filed under the name Zea mays. RNAcentral's name for it is "long non-coding RNA (ZMAY_LNC001802)". Lineage: Eukaryota; Viridiplantae; Streptophyta; Magnoliopsida; Poales; Poaceae. The record is from RNAcentral.